This is a long non-coding RNA of Lolium rigidum, 2473 nucleotides long. RefSeq lists it as uncharacterized. The transcript has 5 exons. The record is from RefSeq and is a predicted model, not a curated record. NCBI's taxonomy places the organism in Eukaryota, Viridiplantae, Streptophyta, Magnoliopsida, Poales, Poaceae.
CUGAACUGACGAGGAGAACUCCAGAACUCUUUUCCCCUCUGCCCAUCCGGAACAAUCGAGGAAGCCAAUCGUAUCCUCAUCCCUUUCCUCUAAAAAAAAGUAAGGCGGGGAGGACUAAUCGCCGCGGCAGGAGACAAGGCUACUGACCGCCGGCUUCGAGCGGAGGCAGGAGCGUUGCUGCAUCCGGCCGAGGACGGCCAGAGUUGAACCCAUCCGGACGUCUUUGUCGCUGGAGGCGGCAAUCGGCUGGAGGAGUUCGAGGGCCGGCAGGCGGCCGUGGCGAACGAGGCGCGGGCUCAAACUGGAGCUCCACCUCCUCGCUUCCAGGGGAGGCGGCCGCCGGCGCAUCCCCGACAAUGACGGCGCAGGGCCCAGUGCAGACCAGGAGAUUUACCUCCGCCGGCAUCUCCUCCACGGACAACAACCCUGUCCUUCACCGCCAGCACGUCCGCGUUGACGAUGACACAUGCGGCAACACAAACAGCUGGGCGAGGCGACGCCAUCUCUUUGGCCGAUGCGUGUCCUCCGUACCUGCGAGUUUCUGCUGAGGUGCAGGCGGCCAAGCGGCACAAGGAGCAGUCAGGACGGUGGUGCUACAUAUCUUCACAUUUGAUGGAAUGUCCCACAGUGUAGCCAGCAGCUGACGAGAUUGUUGGGGUGUUUAGUCCAAGAAGAGUGGUGUUAAUAUUAGCAAGAAUUAAACGUUCUUUCAGUUGUUCUUGAGGUCUAUUUAAAUGGGGAUCCUCUUGGUCCUCUCUGGCUCUCUCCAUGUACAUAAGGUGAGUAAUCAGACUCCAUGGAAUAUAAAUUUACAGUAUUUGAGUUACAUGUGAGGUUUCUAGAUUUUACUUUUGUGCAUGGUAUUUGCAGGCUCAUAGUUACUCAAAGCAUGACUUUGUUCUACUUCUGUUCAGAUUGACGCGCUCAAAUAUCCAGUAAAUCAUCACCCCGCACACUGCUUAUAUUAUUCAUUCUAUCCUAUUAUUGUUAUUAUUAUUUUCCUUCGACUGCUAUUUCUCUGUACGUAACAUAGUAAAACAUUAUUUUUCUCAUCUGUCAUGGGAUGUUGGUUUAAUGUACGUGCUGACAGAUAUCAUACCAUAAAAAACAAAUCAAGACCCAAGAAUAAAUAUUCACCAAUAGCUUGACUGCUAAUUAGAACACGAUGCAGGGUAUAAUUUCUAGCACACAGUUUCAUAUAAUUUGAAGUAAUCUAUCCACAUUAUGCCCCUCUUCCGUUGACUAUAAGGUAGCAGACCUCUGAUUUGCUCGCUCUUAUAUAUGAAUGGAUAUAAAAGAAGCUCAAUUUACUAAUUAUAUUUCGUAUAGGAAUUCAACAUAUUGCAAAUGAUAUAUGGCUUCCUUCAUCAAUUCCUUAUAAUCAAGUUUUACAGAUGGCUUUACCUCUUUGUAUGAUCAGCAUGUCGUCCCUUUACAAUUGGUUAAUUUUAUUUUCAGUUAAGUGCGACCAAACUCUUAUUUGUCACUCUUUUGGUAGGAACUUUAUAGGAUCAUCAGUGAAAACGAGAGAUACCAAAUUGCAGCAAAAUAAAAUAAAACACUUUGCCAACCAUAUGAUCAGGUGCCUCCCAGAGCACAAAAUUCCAAUUUAACAAGCCGUUUUGACAAAAAGGCAAACACGGUAGAAAAAGGCAUUUAUAUAAAGUGAGCUCACCUAAUUCUUGCAUGGGCACUUAUGAGUAUGUAUGGAUAGAAAAACUAUACCAAGUUGCACACAUGUUCCUGAAAUCUUGCUGUUUAAGUUACUGACAAAAAUUUCAGUUGUCUUCUGUAUAAACUAUAAUUUCAGCUUUGGUCGAUGGUAGAGGGAAAUAGAGUGGAGGGAUGUGUACCAAGCAACCACACAGAUCAAUUCAGAUAACAAGUGAAGGAAGAUAACACAUGAAGUAAGGUUCGACCUUUCUAUUAGAGAUGUUCAUCAUCCCUAAAGCAUGGAUAAGAACAGACUCUUCGACAGUUAAUUGUCCAACAUGUUGUUUUAUUUCAGCGACUGACCCAACGGAGAACAUUAUCCACCUACAACUAUGUAGCCAGUAUGAGUGUCACCUACUUAUUGGCUACAGCGGUACGAUUAAUUGUUCUGUUGACACAGUGAUGCUAUUUCUCUGAACUCAUGGCAGGUACAAACAAGUCAACCAGGCGCUGUUCGUGCUCACAAAAAUUCACAGCAGUGCACACACCUUCACUGCUCAUGCGUGUCAGAGAAACUCUCAAUUUCGAACUGUCCCAGCUAAUACAGUGAUCUUACCUAUGGUAGACAAACUGGAUGUAUCCAAGUGUAUGACUUUUCACUGAUCUGCUGCUUUCAGUUUUCCCUUAUGCUCUUUUUGUUUACAGUUCUUUGCCCUUACCAUCAAUUUAUUCAGCAUAGCUGUACUGUUUUGAAUGUGAGGCAAACAAACAGUUCUAGAUCUCCAACAAUACAGCUGGAUGGCCGUUUUUGUUGUUUUUA